Molecule: ribosomal RNA, 378 nt
Filed under: uncultured bacterium
Lineage: Bacteria
Description: bacterial SSU rRNA
Rfam family: Bacterial small subunit ribosomal RNA
Source: RNAcentral
GUAGUCCACGCUGUAAACGAUGACUGCUAGUUGUUGGGGGGUUCCCCCUCAGUGACGUAGCCAACGCGUUAAGCAGUCCGCCUGGGGAGUACGGCCGCAAGGUUAAAACUCAAAGAAAUUGACGGGGACCCGCACAAGCGGUGGAGCAUGUGGUUUAAUUCGAGGCAACGCGAAGAACCUUACCAGGCCUUGACAUGGCACGUUUGAUCGUCAGAGAUGACUUUCUUCACUUCGGGUGGCGUGCACACAGGUGCUGCAUGGCUGUCGUCAGCUCGUGUCGUGAGAUGUUGGGUUAAGUCCCGCAACGAGCGCAACCCUCGUCCUUAGUUGCUAACAUUCAGUUGAGAACUCUAAGGAAACUGCCUAUGAUAAGUAGGA